GUAAUGGUUUUUGGCUUUGGGUCAAGUUUGGUAAUGGGUUUUUUUCCUAGCAUCUUUCCUUUCUUUUCCUUCAUCAGGAGUUGGACCCAACCUAUCAAUGGUGUAUGAAGGGACGUGUGUGUGGCUGAAAUAGGUGCCCUGUUUUUCUUUCUUCUACUCAGACUCAUUUUUCCUUUUUUAUUGUAUAAAGUCUUUUCUUCCUAUCUUUUUAUAUGUAUGGGGCAACAUGCUUAAGUCUCAAACACUGUAAUUUUCUUUGCUUUGGGUGUUGUGUUUUUCUUUCUUUUGCUUAAACUCAUUUUCUCUUUCUUCUUAUCUUUUUUCUUGUAUAGGACAGCAUACUCAGUCUCUAACACUGUAAUUUUCUUUGCUUUUCGUCUUUGGAAGUUUCUCUCUCAACCAAAACGCUCGGCCUUCUCAAAAAGUUGUUUGCUCUUCCAUGUCUUCUGAUCCCUCUAUAUGCAUGCAUAUACUAUAAUUGUUAAUUAACUUUUUUUGUUGGGUUUGUUUUGUGUAAAGAAUGGAAAAAGAAGGAGAAGAAAAUUAAGAAAGAUCAAAGUCCACUUUUUGGAAGUUGUGACGAAUUCAAGAGGAGAUGAAGAAGAGUUCAAGAGAUAAUCGAUGAAGAAUCUUGUUAGAAAUUUACAAAAUAAAAAUGAAAAGCCAAACUUUUCUUUGAAGUUUUUUUUUUUGGUAUUUUAACUAUAAUUAGCAGAUGUGAUUAUGGAAAUCAAAACUCGGACUUUUCUUUGAAGUUUUUGUUUUUGUGGGUAUUUAAACUAUAUUUAGUAGAUUUGAUUAUGGAAAUCAAAACCCGAACUUUUCUUUAAAGUUUUUGUUUUCGUAGGUAUUUUAGUUAUAUUUAGUAGAUUUGAUUAUGGGUUUUGAUGCAUGGAAAGUUUGGGUAUUGGAAAAAUGUGCGAAUUAGAAAUUUGUUUGAAUUUGAGAGUUUUCAGCACAAGUGAAAACUUUUCUUGGAGUUUCAUUAAAUAGUAACAGGUUGUUUCAUGUUGCAUUUCAACACAUUCACUAAUACUAUUUCUACUAGUAGAGAUGGAACAUCAGUUUGCCC
This 1072-nucleotide long non-coding RNA is filed under the name Theobroma cacao (cacao). RNAcentral describes it as "long non-coding RNA (TCAC_LNC000239)". Lineage: Eukaryota; Viridiplantae; Streptophyta; Magnoliopsida; Malvales; Malvaceae. The record is from RNAcentral.